GAUGAAGAACGCAGCGAAAUGCGAUAAGUAAUGUGAAUUACAGAAUUCAGUGAAUCAUCGAAUCUUUGAACGCACAUUGCGCCCUUUGGUAUUCCGAAGGGCAUGCCUGUUCGAGCGUCAUUAUGACCCCUCAAGCCCUCGGCUUGGUGUUGGACGGUUUGGUGGAGGCCCCCUCGGGGGCUCCUGCCCCUCCCAAAGACAAUGACGGCGGCCUCGUUGGACCCCCGGUACACUGAGUUCUUCACGGGACACGUAUCGGACACAUGGGUUUACGGGACACGGUCUGCCUCCCCUCAGGGAGAAUCUUUCUAAGGUUGACCUCGGAUCAGGUAGGGAUACCCGCUGAACUUAAGCAUAUCAAUAAGCGGAGGA
Molecule: unclassified non-coding RNA, 372 nt
Filed under: soil metagenome
Description: partial contains 5.8S ribosomal RNA, internal transcribed spacer 2, and large subunit ribosomal RNA
Rfam family: 5.8S ribosomal RNA (bases 1-120)
Source: RNAcentral